AUUGAACGCUGGCGGCAGGCCUAACACAUGCAAGUCGAGCGGAUGACGGGAGCUUGCUCCUGGAUUCAGCGGCGGACGGGUGAGUAAUGCCUAGGAAUCUGCCUGGUAGUGGGGGACAACGUUUCGAAAGGAACGCUAAUACCGCAUACGUCCUACGGGAGAAAGCAGGGGACCUUCGGGCCUUGCGCUAUCAGAUGAGCCUAGGUCGGAUUAGCUAGUUGGUGAGGUAAUGGCUCACCAAGGCGACGAUCCGUAACUGGUCUGAGAGGAUGAGCAGUGACACUGGAACUGAGACACGGUCCAGACUCCUACGGGAGGCAGCAGUGGGGAAUAUUGGACAAUGGGCGAAAGCCUGAUCCAGCCAUGCCGCGUGUGUGAAGAAGGUCUUCGGAUUGUAAAGCACUUUAAGUUGGGAGGAAGGGCAGUAAGCGAAUACCUUGCUGUUUUGACGUUACCGACAGAAUAAGCACCGGCUAACUCUGUGCCAGCCGCCGCCGUAA
Molecule: ribosomal RNA, 500 nt
Filed under: uncultured bacterium
Lineage: Bacteria
Description: partial 16S ribosomal RNA
Rfam family: Bacterial small subunit ribosomal RNA
Source: RNAcentral